Molecule: ribosomal RNA, 492 nt
Filed under: uncultured bacterium
Lineage: Bacteria
Description: partial 16S ribosomal RNA
Rfam family: Bacterial small subunit ribosomal RNA
Source: RNAcentral
AGUGAACGCUGGCGGUAGGCCUAACACAUGCCAGUCGAACGGCAGCACAGUAAGAGCUUGCUCUUACGGGUGGCGAGUGGCGGACGGGUGAGGAAUACAUCGGAAUCUACUUUUUCGUGGGGGAUAACGUAGGGAAACUUACGCUAAUACCGCAUACGACCUACGGGUGAAAGCAGGGGAUCUUCGGACCUUGCGCGAUUGAAUGAGCCGAUGUCGGAUUAGCUAGUUGGCGGGGUAAAGGCCCACCAAGGCGACGAUCCGUAGCUGGUCUGAGAGGAUGAUCAGCCACACUGGGACUGAGACACGGCCCAGACUCCUACGGGAGGCAGCAGUGGGGAAUAUUGGACAAUGGGCGCAAGCCUGAUCCAGCCAUACCGCGUGGGUGAAGAAGGCCUUCGGGUUGUAAAGCCCUUUUGUUGGGAAAGAAAAGCAGCAGGUUAAUACCCCGCUGUUCUGACGGUACCCAAAGAAUAAGCACCGGCUAACUUCGUG